AAAUCCUGUUCUUAGGGUUGGGUAACGAAACGCUGUGCCAAUAAGGCACCGGUUCUGACGUAAACGAUAGUAACGAGACCGAAUAAGAACGAAAAUUUCGGUGCCUCAUUUCGGACUCUGAACCUCAC
Molecule: long non-coding RNA, 128 nt
Organism: Sander lucioperca (pikeperch)
Lineage: Eukaryota; Metazoa; Chordata; Actinopteri; Perciformes; Percidae
Exons: 3
Source: RefSeq, a predicted model, not a curated record